UCGAACACGCCCACGAGAUGGAGAUGAUGAGCACCACCGACGACGCACGCGUCUUCCUGAGCGCGACGGCGGCCUCGCGCGCGCGCGCACGCGCGUUCGAGUUCGAGCUCUGGGACAGCGGGCGCGUCGAGCGCGCGCAGCGCACCGAUGACGAGCGCGAUCGCGGCGACGAGCGAAGCGCGGGUGAUGAGGAACGGCCUCAACGGUGCGACCUUCGUCGCCGGCGCGCGCGCCUCCGCGCGCGCGCGCGACAUGGCGUCGUGUGGCGUCGUCGCGCCGGGACAGUUACAGUCGAGUCGAGCGGCUAAAUGGUACAGACUACAUCGCUAUGGCUAUCGGACUACGCUGCGCGGUUUCUGGGUCUGCGUCGUCGACUACGACCUCAUUCCGCAACAAAACCCCCGCGAACGAUGUGCCGAUCGUCGCGAACGCAAUCACGAGCCAUAUCCACCGCGGUGCUCGUCCGUGAGGCUUCUCUUCCGUCGUCGCUUCGUCCGCCGUCUGCGUUCGCGAGCUCCGCGUCAGUCUCGUCCCACUCGCGUCUCCGCGUCGCGUUCGAUCGACCCGAGGUGUUCGUGGCAAAAAGUAGAGCGCACGGCGUGGUCUAAACCGCGCGCUCGUCGCAAGCCGACGAGCUGUUUGAUGUAUCCCGGAUCAUGAGUACGACCGCCAUUUGUCGAGCGGCUAUAUAGAUACACCGGGAAAACGAGACGAGACGCGCGUUCGAGGCGCGUUCGAGGCGAAGGAAAGACGCACAUCGACGGUGGACGACAUCGGAGGCGACGAUCGAGCCCGCGCCCGAAGGCGGGUCGCGGGCUGGAUUGUGGCGAACCAGGACGCGUCGGCGGGGUACCCUAGGCGCGGGCGGCGCUUACGUUUUGUUACAAUGCCUGAGUGUGUGCUGCUGAUCUGGCUAGGCUCGCUCGGUGGCAAACGCCAUUUCUUCUGAGAAUUCCCAAAGCUUGGACGCCAAGCGUGGGUCGCGGCUGGGAAGGCUCGAUUUCACCGGGAGACAUUUGGAAAAGAACGUGCCCGGCGGAAGCUUGGGGGCGGUGAGGCAAUACAGCGGCGUCACGACGGCGUCUUCGAGCGACGAAGUCACCGUAGAUUUCAAUAAACCCGAAAGAAAUGAGCCGCCCGGGAACGCGAGAGAUCGCUCGAGCUCGAGCUCCGUCAUGCCCGGGGUCGCCGCGACGCAUCGAACGGGCGAACCAUUCUUUGCCAAUCUCUCCGACAACGUCCACGCAUGCAAGAGAUUGGCGAGUUUACUCUGUCCGUAAGAGUUUAUCGGCGUGUAUCCCAUCUCACUGUUUAAGUUCACGAAAUCGAUCCCUCUGCUAGGUUUAAUCGUCCCCUGUCGCACUCGAUAGGUGAAGUGGUGCAAAUUUGAGCUGAGGUUCACCACGCGUCCUUCUCGCCCCGACGCCGCCGCCGUGCGCACGAGCUCAUCCAUCAACAGCGCGGUCAAUUUGAAAUGUGCGAGAUGAUUCACCGCAAACUGUCGCUCGAUGCCAUCGCUCGUGAGUCCAAACUCUACCAUCGUCGCCGUCUCGGCGUUUAAUAUCCCAUCUAACGCCCACGCCUUGGCGCAAAACGCCUUCACGAAGCUUUCGAUCGUCUCCAACUUUUCCAGAUCGCAGUACAACAUCACCACUUCUCCCUCAUUCGGCGACUCGCGCGUCGUCGCCUUCGCACCGUCUGCGUCGCCUUCUUCGUCUCGCGUCGUCGACUCCGUCGUCUCCGGUUCGCGCUCGAAGGCUCCCUCUCCCGCCUUGACGUCCGCGCACGCGCACACCACGCGCGCUCCCGCGCGCGUCAAUCUUUUCGCGCACUCCACCGCGAUCGCCGUCGUCGGUACGCCCGUGAUGACGUACGUGCGUCCGCUCAAGUCGACCGAUCGAUUGCGUCCCAGCGCGUCGUUUUCAUCGCCCUCGCGCGUCGCGCCGUCGCUCGAUUCCCCGUCCAGCGCGCGCGCGGAGUACCCGGCGCAUCCGGUGAAGCUGUCGCGCACGGCGCGCCACGCCGCGUCCAUCGCGCGCGUCGCACUGCCGUCGGUCGCGUUCGCCCGGUUGUCCCACGGCGAGCGCUCGCUCGUCCGCGCACAUCACCGCGCGCGCGCGUCGCGGCGCCCUCGCGCGCGCGCGCCGCGGCGGCAUGGGUCCGAAUCGCGGCGGCGGCCGCCGCACGGGCGGCGGCGGGCACCAGGCGGGACAAAACGCCAUGGACAAGGCGAAGCUGAAAAAGGAAAAGGAAAAGGCUGCGAAGCGCGGAAGCCGCGCGGAGGCGGCGGAGCGGGCGAACAAGCCGGAAUUUCUGCAGUCCAAGACGACCGGAAAGGGCUCAGGGACGAGGCCGGGGGCGGAGGGGCGAGGGGUGGAGGAGGUGGUGAUGAGCGCGAAUUGCGCGGCGAUGGUGACGGAGACGCUGCGGCGGCUGGACGUGUCGACGAACGCGAUGCCGCGCGUCGGAUCGAGCUCGAGCGUGGAUGUCAGGCACGACGUCGAUAGGGAAGAUGUACUGCGGAAGGCGGCGCAGGCGAUCGGGAAGAAGGGGUUUAGUGAGGGAUUGAUUGAACGCGCGCUCGCGGCGACGCGGCGAGCGGCGGAUGUCGAGCGAGACGCGUGCGAAGGAUUUAAUGAACAGAAACGACGAGCGAUCGCGCGGGCGAUGGAUUGGUUGAUAUUGAAUGCCGAUAAAAAUGAACUUCCAGCUGCGUUACGACCGGAGGUGAAAGGAAAGACGAAAGGUAAAGGUGGUGACGAAGCCGCGGCGAAGGACGACGCCGAGGGCGCGAUUGAGGCUUUUGUUCGCGCCGGUUUCACCGUCGACGCCGCUCGGACAGCCAUGCGAGGAGCAAAGGGCGAUGUCAGCCGCGCACUCGACGAUCUGUGCGCCGCACUCGGACCGAGUCGCGAGGAGGCGCUCGCGGAGGCGAUGGAGGCGUUUGCGGACACAGGAGCGGAUUCCGCGAGCGAGGACGACAUUCGCGAAGUGUUGCGCAACGCACAGUACGAUGAGUUGAGCGAACUCCCUCGCGAUCUUUACAAGCAACGAGGGUAUAACCCGGCGUCGGGCACGGCAUCUAUGGCUGUGGAGAUCGCGGGUAUCGUAGCUUUGGGUGCCGCCAAGCAGUAUGCCGCGGACUUUUACGUGAGUUUCAAGGACGCGCCGCUGUACCCAUUCGAGCUUCCACGCUUGUCGUUUUCUCAUCCCACGCUAGACACGGAACGAUCGAUCGCAGUCUCGGUGGCGAUGAUGCGACACGCUGCGUCCCUUGUAGGACAGCCCAUGAUCGACGACAUCAUAGAGUGGCUUCAAGGGAGCGGUCCUUUGGAGGCGAUAGAGGAAGCGCGCGAACGCGCGAUGGCGCCCGCGCUCGAGCCAGCGAAGAAGAAAGUUACAGGCGCGAAGGCGAUUCCAGCACCAAAAGGAGGCAUUCUGGCUCCACCAACGCAGACCAAAGAAGAGCGCAAGAGAGAACUCGAGCGUCGACGCGAACUUGCAGCCGAAGCCGAGAAGACGAGAGCGCGAGUCGAGGCGCAGACAGAGGCGGAGGCACAGACGAUUGCCGAAGCGAAGACGAAGAAACUCGCCGAGGCAAUCUUAAAGGAGGAAGAGAAGCGCGCGAACGACCCGCGCGUGAUCGCCGAAAGCGAGCGACUGAAAACGGAGUUGACCAAAUUCUGGAACGAUAAGAAGGACUCUCCGAUACUUAAACAGCGUCAACGUCUUCCGGCGUGGGCAAAGCAACAAGAACUCAUCGACGCCGUCGAGCGCAACCAAGUGCUCAUCGUCGCCGGCGAAACGGGUUGUGGUAAGACUACACAGCUGCCGCAGUUCAUUCUUGAUAACGCUAUCUGGCAAGGACGUGGAGCGAUGACAAACAUGAUUUGCACACAGCCGCGUCGAAUCAGCGCCACGAGCGUGGCGAGUCGCGUGGCGAGUGAGCGAGGUGAACAAAUUGGCAAAACAGUGGGCUAUAAAAUCCGUCUUGAAGGCUCGAUGAGCUCGAGCACGCGAAUUUUGUUUUGCACCACGGGCGUGUUACUGCGUCGUUUAACCGAAGACCCUUUACUGAGCGGUACGAGUCACGUGAUAGUCGACGAAGUCCACGAGCGCUCGCUCGAUUCUGAUUUCUUACUCGUCUUGUUGCGCGAUAUUUUGCCGCAUCGACCGACACUCAAAGUGGUGCUGAUGUCAGCCACGUUGAAUGCGCUCGCGUUUGAAGACUAUUUCAAGGGCGUUUCUGCGGUGAGCAAAAUCCCUGGGUUCACUUAUCCGGUGAACGAGCAUUAUCUCGAGGACAUCUUACAAGUGACCGAGUAUCAACCAAACCCAGGGACGGAGUAUUUUAAAAAGGCGCCGCGACGCAGGGACAACUUUGACGCCUCUAGUCGACCGGUGUCAAGUAAGGAUGGCGACAUACCGGAUGAAGACUCGUUCAACAUUACGUUGCGGGACAAGGGCUACGGUGACAACGUCGUUCGCGCUCUCCGAAACCUCGAACAGGGUUUGAUCAAUUACGAGUUGAUGACGCUUUUAAUCUCGCACAUUUGCGAGUCGAUGGACGAAGGCGCAAUACUGGUAUUUAUGCCCGGUUUGGCGGAGAUCACGAAGCUUUACGAGGCGUGUGGGGCGAAUCCUACGAUCAACGCGGCAACGUCUGGAGGAAAAUACCUGAUUGCUUUGCACAGCACGCUGAGCACGGCCGAGCAGAGCAUCGUAUUCGAUCACGCCCCAGACAGCGUGCGUAAGAUAGUCAUCGCAACAAAUAUCGCAGAGACGUCGAUCACGAUCGACGAUGUCGUGUACGUAGUCGACAGUGGCAAGUGCAAAGAAAACGGCUACGAUCCAAACACUCGAAUGCAGCUGCUUCUCGAGCAGUGGGUGUCUCGUGCGAGCGCUCGACAGCGUCGCGGUCGCGCGGGACGCGUGCAAGCCGGCCGAUGCUUCCGAAUGUACACGCGUCACGUGCACGAUACGGUCUUCGCUGAACACACGCUUCCUGAAAUCAGACGCGUGCCUCUAGAAGGCUUGUGCUUGCAGAUUCAGCUACAACGCAUGGCUGGGGGCAUCGCCGGAUUUCUCGGCAAGGCGUUGGAGCCUCCGAAGGUUGAGUCUGUGGAGGCGGCGGUGGCGUCUCUCAAACGCCUUGGUGCUUUGGAUGAGCGUGAAUGCCUGACCCCACUCGGUCAACACUUGGCUACGUUACCCGUGGAUGUUCGCGUGGGUAAGAUGCUCCUCUACGGCUCCAUGCUUGGGUGCCUGGAUCCCGUGCUCACGAUUGCUGCCGUCUUGAGCGGUCGUUCGCCGUUUGUGGCGCCGCUCGACAAACGCGACGAAGCAGAUCUCGCCAAAAAGCUCUUCGCCGAAGAUCAAUCGGAUCAUCUCACGAUUCUGAAUGCCUAUAAUGGCUGGCAAGAUGCGAAGAAGCAAGGACGAUCGUCUGAGUUCGCGUUCACCCGCGAAAACUUUCUCUCGUGGAGAGCACUCGAGGGCAUCGCAGAUCUGCGGAACCAAUUUACACAACUUCUGAAUGAAUCAGGUUUCCUGGGAUCGUCGUCGAAGAAGAAAGGUGGUGGACGGUAUCGCGGUCGCCAGCGCGGUAAUGUCUUGGAAACCGACGUAGAUUGGAUUCGAGCGAAUCGAAACUCGGAGAAUAAACGACUGUUAAAGUCGGUUCUCGUGGCUGGGUUGUAUCCAAACCUCAUCAAAGUCGACCCCGGUUCUCGUCCAGAUGCCCCACCCCGUCUGUCUUUCCUCGCCGAGAACGGGCGGACGGAAAAAAUCCAAAUUCAUCCAUCGAGCAUCAACUUCGAGGCGAAGAAGUUUAUCACCAAGUGGCUGGUGUACCACGAGCGCGUGCAGACGACGGCAAUCUUCGUGCGCGAUUGCACGGCGGUGACGCCUUAUCAACUUCUAUUGUUCGGGGGGAAAAUCGAAGUGCAACACACGCAAGGAACGAUAAGUAUCGAUCGCUGGGCGACGUUCCAAGCUCCAGCAAAAGUAGGAGUUUUGCUCAAAGAGAUCCGAAACCAGCUUGACCGCGUGCUGGCGCAAAAAAUUGAAAACGUCGGCAAGGACGUCGGCGAACUUUCCAACCCUCUCGUGCUCACGAUUCUCGAGCUUCUCGAUUCGGAGAAGAUCGCGAAGAUGUCCACAAAACCAAAUUAGCAGACAAACACAUUGAUUGAAUUGAUACAACACACUAUACAUAGUAAUCUAGUCCCUAUGACCAACUUCUCGUCUUCGCGUGCACGCGAGCCACAUCCGUCAUGUAAUCCCCGCUCAAUCGAGCGUACGCCGUGCGAUUCGCGCGCUCGAUCUCUCGUCGAGCGCGCUCCUCGUCACCAUUAAUCUCAUAAAAUAACCCCAAAUAUAACGCGCUAUAAAACUCAUCGCUCGCGUUCGAGCGUCCGGCUUCGCGCAGGCGCGUCGCCGCCUCUUCCGAUCCCUCCGCGAACAGCGCGAAAACGCUCGACAUCACCGGUCUCGAAUCCCGACCGGUGAUCAACAUAUUUUCUCUCGCGUACGCGAUCCCUUUCUCCGGAUCCAUCGCCUCCGAGGCGAAGCACCACACGCUCUCCUCCGUAUCGUUCGGGUUCUGCGCCACGUCCAGUCGAAACUGCUUCGCCGCCUCCUCGUACGCCCCCGCGUAGUACAGCGCCAGCCCGCGCUGCCACAUGUACGCGCUAAACCUCUCAUCGCUCGCGAUGGCGUCGUCGAACGCGUCGAUCGCGCCUCUGACGUCGCCUCUGAUAAACUCCCUCGCGCCGCGCUUGAUCUUUUCGCUCGCCACCGAUGCGUUCGCUCGCUCCGCGCGCGCGCACGUCGCCACGAUCGCCGCCGCGACGCCGCGCAGAGCGUCGCGACGAUUCGUUCGUCGUCUCGCGUCGCGCGUCGCGCACGCACGCGGCGCGCGCGCGCCGCGAGCGGCGGACAUUUAGUGACGUGUGGAUGUUAUCCACACGUCACUAAUUCCGACACACUAAUUCCGACACACUCCGACGCGCCGUUCGCGCGCUCGCCGUUCGCGCGCUCGCCGUUCGCGCCCACGCGCGCGCAAGUCCGCCCGCGACACUCUCGCGCCGCUCGCGCGCGCUCGAACGCCUCGAGCGACGCGCGCGCGCGAUGUCCCGAUGCGCAACCACGACGGUGACGGCGCGCGCGCCGACGCGCGUCCGCGCGCCGUCGAACGCGAUCGCGCGACGCGCGAGCGCGCGAUCGGUGCAGACACACGCCGGUCAGGGUAAAGUGCUGCUCGAGGUGAAGGACCUGCACGCGAAAGUCGCGGAGACGGGAGAGGAGAUCCUGAAGGGGGUGAACCUGACGAUUCGCGAGGGCGAGACGCACGCGGUGAUGGGCAAGAAUGGCUCGGGGAAGAGCACGCUGACGAAAGUGCUGGUCGGACACCCGGCGUAUGAAGUCACGAGUGGUAGCGCGACGUUCAAGGGCGAAGCGCUGUUCGAGAUGGAACCCGAGGAACGCGCGCGAAGCGGGUUGUUUUUGUCGUUUCAGUCGCCCAUCGAAGUCCCGGGGGUGUCGAACACCGAUUUCCUGAGAAUGAUGUGCAACGAACGAAGAAAGGCGCGCGGGGAGGAGGAAUUGGAUCCUUUGGAGUUUUAUGGAUAUCUCACGCCCAAGUUGGAGGCGUUGAACAUGGAUCCGAGCUUCUUGACGCGCAACGUCAACGAAGGGUUCUCCGGUGGCGAAAAGAAGCGAAACGAAAUUUUGCAGUUGGCCGUGAUGGAGAGCGAGAUGAGCAUUUUGGAUGAGAUUGAUUCCGGUUUGGACGUCGAUGCGUUGAGAGACGUGGCCAAGGCGGUGAACUUGUUGAGACAAGGCGACAAGGGCUUGCUCCUCAUCACGCACUACCAGCGUCUUUUGGACGCCAUUCACCCCAAUUUCGUGCACAUCAUGCAAAAGGGGCAAAUCGUGCAAACCGGGGGAGUCGAGAUCGCGACGCAGCUCGAGGAGGGUGGUUUCGCGUCGCUCGCGCAGUAGUUACAACAUAAACGAUUCAUUUAAUGAUAACACACGAUAUCACAAAUCACUCGAGCGACCACAGUUCGAUGCGAGCCGUCCUGAACAUGUUCUCCGAAGCCAAGGGCGGGGACUGAAAAGUCUCGCACUCUCCGCUCGAACCUUGAAGUAAAUCCUCUUCUAAACGAAUCGCGUGCGCGCUACCACCGCCGACGGAUAACGAGUCAGCGGCGCCGAACAUGUAGUAAUCGUUCGCCCCGCUCCACGCGUACUUGACGCCCUCGGGCGCGAGCGUGAACACGAAACUCUCACCCGUGCCGCCGUAUCGCGAGUGCACCUUCCACGCCUCGGUGCAAAACGCGCCAAAAAUAGCCCCACCACUAUCGCUCACGAGGAGCACCGUGUUCGCCUUCCCGCUCGCGCGUCUGUAAAGACUCUUCAACGAAAUCCCGUCGCGCUUGGUGCUGUACGCCAACGCCCACUCCCGCAUGCGAUACAUCGCCGGCAGCGCCUCCCGCAGCGUCUCCAUCUGUUCGACCGUCACUAUAUCACUCUUCCCAUUCAUUUUCAUCUCCGUCUUGAUCGUCCUCUCCGCCGACGUCGACAACUCGCUCGCGCCUCGCCGUCGACGCCUCGCCGUCCCGUUCCCCUCCCCCUCCUCCCUCGUCGUCCCCUCUCCCUCCUCCUCCGCCUCCAUCGUCGCCGUCCACGAUUCCAGCACCUUCCCUAAAAACCCCUCGUGCGCGUCGUCCGCUCGCACCCGCGCGCUCGUCGCCUUCCCGGCGCUCGUUCGAUACAGCACGUCCACCGUCCCGUCGCCGUCCUCGCCGCGCACGACGCCCACGAAUGACCGUUUAUUAAUCUCCGGGUGCUUCACCCUCGGAUCCAGCACCGCGCGCGCGUCUCCCUCGCCCGCGCGCGUCGGUCGCUCGAUUCGCACGCAGUUCCCGUCGUCGUCGUCGUCGUCGUCGUCGUCGUCGUCCCCGAGGACGUCCCGCCAAAACGUCCCGAACACCUCCUCCAUUUCGCGCCCUUCGUCGUCGUUCGUCGUCGUUCGUCGUCGUUCGUCCGGCGUUCGUUCGUUCGCUCGCUCGUUCGUUCGUCCGGCGUUCGUCCGUCGUCGUCGCGCCGCGCGACGCGCCGUGUCGCGCCGGUUCGCGCGCGCGAUUGGCGCCCGAGACACCCGGAAGUGGCGCGGCCGCCCGAGACACCCGGAAGUGAGAAAAGCGCCGAAAAAGAGGGGAGACGAAGAGACACAAUGACGACGCGAACGACGACGGCGCGCGCGCGGCGACGGACACACGGCGACGCGCGCGCGAGGACCGGGCGGUGACGAUCGCUUCGAUCGAUCGUCGCGGGCGUCGAUCGACGACGACGACGGCGAAACGCGGUGGUGGACGAGGAUGACGACGACGACGACGACGGCGCGGACGCGCGGGACGAAGGCGGAGGACGACGACGCGACGCGCGGCGAGGAGACGGCGAGCGAGGGACGAUGGCGAGCGACGCGAAGAAAGGAGCGGUCGAUGUCGGUGGAGGCGGCGAUCAGCGCGGCGAUGCGGUCGAUGCAGGGAGGGGCGAUGACGCCGACGCCGAGGUGGCGGGCGGUCGGGGACGUGGCGAGCGCGUGGGCGUUGAUGACGGCGCACGAGUUGGAUUGGCUCGGCGCGUCGGGGGCGCUCGGGAGCGCGGUGUGGGGGACGGCGAUCGUGGGGGCGAUGGUGCACUUGGUGUGCGGGUUCGCGCGGUACGCGUCGUACACGCACGCGAUGGUGGACGGGUGCGCGCUGGCGGCGGCGGCGGCGGAUCGGGCGCUUUCGCGAGGAGACGCCGCGGUGUGGGCGCUCGUACGACCGUUCAUUCGGCUCGCGUUGCUCACGCGCGUGUGCGCGGCAAGUGCGCUCUGCAUGGACGCCGGGACGUGGGCGGUGCUGAACGGGAGAGGCGUGCGAGGUGUGUUUCAUCGACUCGAGCACGCCGGCGCGGUGAACAUCGCGGUGUGCGUCAGCGUGGGAAUCAUUUCUCUCGGUCCCGUCGCGACGGCGCAACACCGGCUCGGCGCGGAAAUUCUCACGCGUUACUUUCACGUGAGAGUCGACGAUGAGGUUCUUCGCGCGAUCAAACGCAUGGAACAGGUGUUCGCCGCCGCUGCCGCGGCGACGGCGUUCAACGCCUUGUUCAACCUCACGCGCCGAUCAUUACUCGGUCGUCCGCUGCAAGGAAUCAUCGAAACUCUCGAGUAUCACGCCAAGCAGGUGUUAACCGACUUGGAGUUACGACCUGGUGAGGUGCAAUCUUUGGACAUCGGCGUGUUGGGAUAUGUGCUCGACAAGAUGAGCCACAUCGUCAAACGAAACGAAUCCGACAACGGCGGACCGGCGCUCAUCGAAGCCAUUCUGGAAGAUCACGAAGACGUCGACGGACGCACUCGCGAAUGGUUGGUGAGUUACGAAGCGAGUAACGUCAAAUAUGGAAAAUCAGCGUCGGUGAAUUCGCAAGGAGUGAACGUGUUCAAGUCGGUGGUUUCAUCCUUUGCGCGCAUGUCAGACGCCGGGGGGCCGUAUCUGAGCGUCGACGGGGACGCGCUCAACUCUUGGUCGUUCGAUGUGUUCACCGUAGGGGAAAACAAGGAGCUAUUUCCGUACGUCGUGCGCAUGUUUCACGAAAUGAACAUGUUUGAGCUCGUCGAUCAGUUCAAGUUUCGUCGCUUCUUAUCUGAGGUCGAAGGCAUGUACCGGGAUAAUCCGUACCACUGCUUCAAGCACGCCGUCGACGUCACGCACACGACGUAUUUAUACAUUUGCGCGGUGAAAGAGCAAGUCAGUAUGACGCAAGUAGAAAUAUUCUCUCUCCUCGUUGCCGCUUUGGUGCACGAUUUGGAUCAUCCCGGGGUUACGAACGGGUAUCUCAUCGCCACGCACGAUAACAUAGCGCUGACGUACAACGACGAGAGCGUGUUGGAGAAUCUUCAUCUCUCGCGGUUCUUUUCUUUGUGUCAAAACAACGAAGACGCAAACAUUCUCUCUGCAUUUGACGAGAGUACGUACAAAGAGAUUCGUCGAUCUAUUAUAAGUUGCGUGCUACACACAGACAUGGCGCAUCACUUCAAGCUCGUCUCGCGAUUGAACGAACUCGUCGCUCUGGGUAAGAAGAACAACAUCAUCAACGGUUCACCGAUGAAAUCGACAGUCAUAACGAGCACUCGUGAUGAUGAUCCGAUAAAUGUGAGCGUGACGUUCAAGACAGACGACGAGCGUCAGCUGAUGCUGAAUGUUCUCCUGCACUGCGCGGACAUCUCCAACGCCGUCAAGCCAAACGAGCUUUGCGUCAAGUGGGCAUCGCGGGUGCUGGAAGAGUUCUUCAAUCAAGGCGAUCGCGAACGUUCAAGAGGAAUGUCGAUCAGUCCUAUGAUGGAUCGCGAGACCACGUCGGUGGGGCUAUCGCAGAUAAACUUUAUUGAGUUUGUUAUCGCGCCUCUCUACGUGCAAUUUGUGGCGGUGUUCCCAGCCCUGAACGGCCUCUUGACGCGACUGAUCGAAAAUCGUCGAUACUAUCAGGAGACGUAUGAAAACGAACUCGCCGACAUGACUAAAGGCGAUGGCACCGAUCGCUCUCCAGAGAAAGAAUCACUUCGCGCGCGAUUCCGCACGCUCAUCGAAAAGCACUCGCUGCGUCGCUUCGUGGAUGAAAGCGAUAAUCUCAUGAAGGCCAUUCUAUCGCUUCCACACACGCGACGGUCGAGCGCGACUCGUUCUUUCAACGCGAUGCUUUCAUCGCCGUCGAAGAAGAAAACGAUGUGAACGCAGACGAUAUUUCUAUUGCGCUGCGUUUUGAGUUUGCAUUGUCAAUGCAAAAUGUCUUUUCAUGUCCUCUCGUGUCCCGCACUCCUUUGUUAGCGUGUUGACCUCGUCCCAUCGAGCGCGCGAGUUAACGGAUUCGGCCUAAGGACGCGACUUCGAAAAGCGAACAACCGUUCGAAACGUUCUCGUCGCCGAGAGAUCGCGUUCGCGGUCGCGCGUCGUGGUCACGUCUCGAAAUGAGCGAUCGAUUACCUCAGUCUGCAGCGCGUCAACGGCGCGCAUGACGCCCGCGCGACUGACGCGAGCGGGCACGAGGCGCGAGCACAGCGACUAUCACACUUCUCCGCGAUCGCGAGCUUCAAACGCGCGCGACACUCGCAAUGAAACGCGCGUCAGUAUGAAACUCUCCGACGAUGCCGCACCAGGCAGCAUCGCGAGCGUCCGCGCGUCGACGCGUGCGUCGCGCAAGCGGUCGAGAGACGUCGUAAUUGAGUCGGCGCAAUUGUUCGUAAAAUCGUCGCGUCGCCGUGCGGCGGUUUCGGACGACGAGGACGAAUCAGACGUCGUCGCGACGGUUCGAGCCGCGGACGGCGGCGACGACGCGACGCCCCCGGCGAGGCGGGAGACUCCUGUCGAAUCUUCCUUGGUGUGCGCGCCGCGCACGCGACGUGAAACCAAAGACCACGCUUUUCGCAAAGCUAACGAGGCGCAGAGCGCGUUGCUCGGAACGCUCUGCGAGGAUGCAUUGUGGAAAGUGUGCGAGUUCCUGCCGGCGAAGGACUUGGCGUCGUUGGAGUGCGCGAGCUCGUAUUUCCAUCGCCCUAUGCGACGCGCCGAUCGAGGACUAGGGAUCGCCGAGCGCGUCGCUAGAGUACGUAUCAGAGGCGCGCAGAUGGCCGACAUGCCGCCAUUUUACAGGUAAGAAUCCGUCAAAGAUUUCCUCGGUCAACUCGACCUUGUCGCAAAGCUGGCGCGCGUUGACUAACACUUGCUCUUCGCUUGGCUCUAGGAAACUUUCGUGGAAGCGAAAGCUUGAAAUAUUUGAAAAGCGAGCGCAACCAUUGAGCGCAAACGAACUAAUUCCGGGGAUGUGGGUCAGGGUCAAGUCCGACACGGAAGAGGUUAAGCGCAUGUGCACCGGCGCAGACAAGGGUGUUUUCGGCUACCCGGUCGGAUGGGAGCCUGGGAUGGAGGAGACGUGUGGGAAGUGCUUUCGAGUGUGCGUCGUGAGUCUCGAUUACAGACAGACGCCUGUUGUCGGCUUGUCCGUUUCUGGCGGACUCGUAGCGAUUUCCCGCGGAAAGACGCCGACCUAUGGCUGGUACUUCCCAUUCGAGUCGUUGACGCAUCUGUAAAUGUUCGCUGGAAGCAUCUUUUGUAUUAAUACGCUAAAAAUCUGCUGCUAGUCAAGUCAAUCAACGCAUCACCAAACUAAAUCGUUUCACCCGUGGCCUUCUCGUAUUGCGUCUUGAGAGCGACGACGAGACGCCAAUCAUCCUUCGUCAAUUCUUCACGGAAGCUUUCCUUCAACAUGUCGAUCGACUCGCGCGUCAUUCUCGAUACGAGCUGAUCUUUAUGAUCAAAAUGGCGACCGUAAAGUCGCGAAGAUUCACUGGGCGUUCUCGGUUCGAUCUUCAUCGCCACAGAUUGACCGGCAGUUGCCUUCUUCACCUCCUUGUGGUUGAGUUCCAUCGAAGCAAUCUUACCAAUGUCGAUGUAACCUUGCGAUGGGAUGCAAAUUUGCGUCCCCACGCGAGCGACCCCCUUGACAAUGUCAACACCAACGACGAUGGGAUCGCGCUUGUUGAACACGCAGUUGGGCAUGAUUUGCAAGAUGCAAGGGAAGUUGACGUGCUGCGACGCGGCUUCACGCUUGUCUGCCUUGACCUUUUCCAUGUACGCCGUGAAUUGAUCAAACAAGUGGUAGAUGAUGUCGGCGGUGAAGAUGCGAACGUUGAGCUCUUCGCCCAUUGCGUGCGCCUCCUUCGUCACCGGCACGUCAAAAGCCAGAAUAGUAGCAUACUCGGGCUUUUUGCGCUCGUGCAUGACGCUCGCACCCAUGACGUCCCGUUUGUUUACCGGGCCAAUGGCGAUGCCGGCGACGGGAAUUUUGACCGCGUCAGAUUUCAAGAACUCCAACAAGGCUUCCAAAGAACCGAGCGUAGACGCCUGCACGUACACGCCUUCGCCACUCUUAUCAACACGAGCAAGCACGCCCUUCAUAUCACUUAAAACCUCUUCCCUGAGUUCCAUUUCGUCGUCUUCAGGAUCGAGCACCAAAAGAGACGUACCUGCGACAGCUUUCUCUAAUCCAGUGGCGACGAUCUUGAUCCCUUGAGCGCCUUCGAUUUCCUUGUGAUGAAUGUAGCUUCCCUUCACCCGCAUCUCUCGCAUGGGCUGCGGUGUAAGUAAUGCACGAAUUUGAGUCGUAAUCGCCCCCUCUAACCCAGCAACGACGAUUGUCUGUCCUUCCUUGAGCUUACCGUUGAUGAGAAUGACGUCAACGCUCGUACCGAGACCUUCGAUCAUCUUCACUUCAAGCACGGUACACUGUACGGCAGGCACGUAUUGAAUGCGCUCGUUCAUGCGAUUUUGGCACAAGUCAACAAGCGUUUGCAAAAUGUCCGGCAUCCCCUCACCCGUAAUAGCAGAGGUUGGGAUGAUGUUGAUGAAAGUACGUGGGUCCGGGUUCUCCCAGUACUUCGCCACGUUCAAACCUUGCUCAGCAAACUCGAUGACGAUCUUGUCGUAACGAUCUUGGAACUCGCGUCGAGCGUGAUCCUUUUGUAAGGACAAAGUCUCCUGUGUUGGGAAGUUGGUAUUUUCCGUCCAGUCGUACAUGCGAUCGAUUUUGUUGAGCGCAAUCACAAAAGGCGUCUUUCGCGAUCGAAGCAUGUUCAACGAUUCUAUCGUUUGCGGCUCUAAGCCGUGCAUGAUAUCAACGACGAGAAUGGCGAGAUCACAAAGUGACGAACCUCUCGAACGCAAGUUUGUGAAAGACUCGUGUCCUGGGGUAUCGAUAACGAGCAAACCGGGAACUCGCAAGUCCCAUUCACCCUUGUUUAGCUGCGCCGUUCGCUCGAGGAGAGACUCCUUGGGAAUAAAAGUCGCACCAAUUUGCUGCGUAAUACCGCCAGCUUCUCCGUCUUGGACGUUGGUUCGUCGAAUGUUAUCCAAUAUCUUCGUCUUACCGGUAUCAACGUGCCCCAUGAUGCAUAUAAUUGGGCAACGAAGCUUGCUUGGACUGCGCUUUGCCUUGGCCAACUCGAAGCGUGCCAAACGCGCAAUCUUUGCCGCCUCCAUGCGCUCUUCGUGUUCACGUUGACGGACGUCAUCGCUAUCCUCGCGGUAAUCCGAGCUAUCGGAGUACUCAGAGCUGUCGCUGUCGGAAUCAGAGUCAGAAUCAGAGCCAGAAUCAGAGCCAGAUCCUUCGUCAGAUUCUUCGUCAGAGCCCGAAGCGUCAGCAGCUUCCUUGGCUGCGGCGGCCUUUUCCUUGGCUUCCUUGGCCCACGGCUUUUCAGCCGCAAUCUUCGCCUUGAUCGCCUUCUCCGCCGCGAAUUUGGCCGCAGCCUCAGCCGCUUUCUUCUCCGUCUCGUGACGUUUCUGCUCGGCGGCCUCUUUCUCCGCCUUUUCCUUAGCCAAGCGCUCCUCCUCUUCUUUCUGACCCGGAAGGAUAAUCUCCUUGUCGUCCCAGUCUUCCGCUUCCCAGUCAUCGGCAGCGUCGUCAUCUUCAGCUUCGGCGGCGAGUCGGGCUUCUUCUUCAGCUUUAGCCUUCGCUUCAGCCUCAGCACGCUCUUGUUGUUGCUUUCGACGCUCUUCCAUCUCUUUCUUCUUUUUGCGAUCGUCGUAAACCGGACGUUUCGGCUUGAUAACUUCGUCGAGUUUAUCUGCGUCAAUCCCAGACUUGGCUAACAUUUGCUGGCGCAUCGCGGCUAAACGCGCUUGUUCCGCCUUUUGCUUGUUGCUGAGAAGUUUGCCUUCGGCACGGAGGCGCUCCUUCUUCUCCUUCUCUUUUUGUUUCUUUGCCUCGCGACGCGCUUCCUCCUCUUCUUCUUUUUGUUUCUCAAGACGUUCAGCCUCCUCCGCCGCGGCUCUUGCCUCGGCUUCAGCUUUGGCUUGAGCCUCUUCCACCUCCUUACGCUUUUGCAUUUCUGCUUGAAGGGCGAGAAUUCUCGCACUUGGCGCGCCGGCAGACUUUUGCUUCUUCUCCGCCUCUGCCGCCGCCUUGGCCUUGGCUUCCUUUUCUUUUUGCUUCUUCUUGAGCUUCUUCUUUUGCGACGCCGAAAGCUCUUUGCCAUCUUCAAGCGCAUCGCCGUCAUCAUCAUCAUCAUGAUUAUUGCCAUCGGUAGCAGGCGCCGCAUCGGCGGCAUCACCGCCAGCUGCGGCUUCCGCGGCUUCGCGCUCGGCUUUCAAUCGGCGCUUCUUUGCCGCUUUACUCUCGCCAGCCGGCUCUUCUGGCUUGGCCUCGAUUUUGAUGUCAAGCUCGGCCAAAAGAGCGUCGAGGUCUUCCUCGUCGUCGGCCGCUUGCUUACCACCUUUUUUCUUUUUCUUCUUGUCCUUCUUCGAGCCACCAGUUUCGUUGGCGACGAGUUCGGGUUCGGGUUCGGGUUCGGGUUCGGGCGUCUUUUCCUUCUUCGUCGUCCCGGGCGCUUUCAAAGGCACAUCAUCGCCGAUGGAAAAAGCAGACUUAUCGAGCUCGUACACGCCAUCCGCGCUAUCGGCCCAACCCAUCUCCACCGCGCUGAGAAUCAUACCUUCACUCAUGACGCCGCGCAACGGCGUCUUGUCGAUGACUUGGCCGCUGGCGGGGAUUUUCACGCCGACGCCUGCAAAAAUCACCAACAAACCUUUUCUGGCGUUGGCACCACCGCACACGCACCGUUUCGGUUCGUCGCCGCCGAAAUCGACGGUGCAAACUUGCAGACGAUCCGCCAUCGGGUGCUUGCUGCAUUCGAUGAUCUUACCCACGACGAGUUCGGGUUCGGCGACGAGCUUUUUCUUUUUCUUCUUUUUGAGAUCAAUCGCGACUUCCACCGCCGCGGCUUCCUCGUCGGCAUCCAUGAGAUCGGCAAAGCUUCCCUUCUUCUUCUUCUUUUUGUCUUUCGUGUCCGCGGUGCGAGACUCCGAGGCUUCUUCGUCGUCCUCCGCGUCCUCGUCUUCGUCGUCCGCCAUCAAAGCCGCGAAGCCGCCCUUUUUGGAUUUCUUCUUUUUAUCCUUCUUCGGCUUGACAUCCGCCUCCAUCUCCUCUUCCUCGUCGUCAUCAUCGCCACCACCCAUCAACGGAUCGUUCACGUCGUCGUCCGACCCCAUCAACGCCGCGAAACCACCUUUUUUGGAUUUCUUCUUCUCCUUCUUCGGCUUCGUCGCCGCCGCCGCCGCGCGCACCUCCUCCUCCGACGCGUCGUCCGCGUCAUCCGCGUCGUCAUCCGACCCCAUCAACGCCGCGAAACCUCCCUUUUUAGACGUUUUCUUCCCCUUCCUCGGUUUCACCGCGCGCGUCUCCCCCUCGUCCGCCUCCUCUUCGUCCGCCUUCUUCGCCGCCGCCGCCAGAGGGUCCAAAUCCUCGUCCGAGUCCUCCCCUCGUCCUCUCCCGCCCCGCCCGCCCUUGCCCUUCGCCGCCUUUCGCGCCUUUUUCAUCUCCGUCUUCGACAUCGCUCUCGCGCCGUCGUCCGCGUCUUUCGCGCCGUCGUCGCGCGUCGCCGUCGCCGUCGCCGUCGCCGUCGCCGUCGCCGCCGAGGGAUCGACCCCGUCGUCGUCGUCGCUCGAAUCGUCCCCUCGCUUGCCCUUGCGCCCGGCUCGCUUGCCCUUCGCCAUCGCGCGGCGCGCGGGAACGUUCUCUCUCGCGCGCCGUCCGUCGUCGGCGCGCGCUCGCGCGUCGCGCGCGCGUCGCGGUGUGUCCAUCGCGCCGUCGCAUCUUUUAAACGUCGAGACAUCGCGACGCGCGCGCGCGAUGCGCGCCGACGCGCGCGCGCUCGGCGGCGACGACGACGCGCGCGACGUCGCGCGCGACGUCGACGACGGCGACGCGACGCGCGCGAUGGCCGACGCCGACGCCGACGCCGACGACGCGCGCGAGGACGCGACGACGACGACGACGACGACGCCGCCGACGAACGAACGACGCGACGCGCGCGAGCGCGCCGGCGACGUCGCGCGCGCGUCGCUCGCGAUCGCGCUGCUCGCGGUCGCCCUCGCGAGGCUGCGACGGUGGGCGAGGGGCGACGGCGACGCGCGCGGCGGCGCGCCGGGACGCGUCAGCAGGCGCUUCGCCGCGCGGCACAGGAAGUGUAAUCGAUGCGGCGCGCGCGGGUCGGCGGUCAAGGUGAAGUGCGAGCGGUGUAAAAGGUGCUGGUACUGCUCGCAGACGUGCAAGAAAGCGGCGUGGGCGCUGGAAAUUUGCGAGUGUUGUUGACGCCGGCGCCGGCGGCGCGGCGUUUGAAAUCGCGCGCGCGGCGUCGCGCGACGCGUGAACGAUCGCGUGCUCGUGCAUUGUAAUCGUCGCGAACGCGAAUGCGUCUAAAUGCGUCGCGUUUCUGCGUUCACCGAGUGCGUUUCACGGCUCGACGCGUUCGCGUUCGCGUCGGCGCGCGCGUUCGCGGCGUCGCGAACCGACCCCCCCUCCGAGCGCCGCGGCGCGCCGCACAUCGCCGCGUCGAGCCAUGAGCGACAAGAUCGUCGAGGCGCAGAAGGUGCGACGGACGACGCGCGCGCUUCGCGACGCGCGAAAACGGCGCGACGCGCCAUCGCGACGUCGGAUAAAGCGUCAACGAUUCGAUCGCGACGCGCUAGGGCUCGACCGCGAGCGACGACGCGCGCGCGGACGACGCGCGCGCGACGCGGACGACGACGCACCUCGAGGCGCGCUAGCGCUCGACCGAACGACUGACGAGACGCGCGCGCGGCGUCGCGGCGCCGCUCGACAGUUUUUUCAAUCCCGAAAGGGAUUCGUGCACCUGAAGCGAGGCGGCGUCGAUCGCGUCACGAGCGUGUUGAUACCCGUCGGCGCGGUGUGCGUCAUGAGCGCGAUGCUCGCGAAAGGUGCGCGAAACGUCAAAGCGCGGCCCGUCGACGCGCGUCGACGGCGCGACGGAAGCGCUUCCGUCGGUGGUUUCGAAGACGCGACGGAUGGGCGAGCGGGACGGGACGGCGAGACUGACGACGACGGAUCGACGCGCGAUCGAUCGCAGGCGUGAUGGAUCUCACCACGGGGCGAAAUAAGAAGGAAGGGUUCUGAUCGCGAUCGACGCGAACGAUCGAGGGCGUCGAGCGACGCGUUGUAAUUACAAUCGACUAGCGUAACCGAACGGCGCGACGGACGACGACACACCUCGACGCGACGCGACGUCGAUGCCGUCCGACGUCGUCGCGCGCGCGUGAAGGCGCGCGGGGAUGUCGACGCGCGCGAAAUCGAUCGCCGCGGCGACGCUCGGCGUCGUUUUCGUCGCGCUGUGCGCUGUGCGCGCUGAUGGAUUCGCAAUCGAGCCGCGGUGCGUCGACGACGCGCGACGCUACGACGACGUCACGCGACGCGCGCUGACGACGCGGGCGACGUGCGCGGACAUCGCGCGCGGCGCGGAGGCGCUCGAAGCGCUCGGAGCGUCGACGUGCGGUGCGGUGGGCGCGCGCGCGCGAUUUCUGGCGGCGAAGCUCAACGCGGCGACGGGCGCGUGGGACGACGCGAAGCGCGCGCUCGCGGGCGACGAGACGAGCGAAUUAUGGAAAACAAUAGAUGAGAUGUCGCGCGCGGCGCGGGUGGGGUCGGAGGCGGGAAGACGAGGGGAUUGGGUGAAGGCGUACGCGGCGGCGAACGCGGCGGUUGAGGCGAGCGCGUGCGCUUUGGAUCCGAGGACGUUUCAAGCGCGCGCGCGCGCGGCGUUGAAGUUGGCGAUGCACGGAAGGGCGUUCGUGGAUGCGAAACGCGCGCUCGCGCUGGGGGGGGGGAAGUCAGAGGCGUACGAGACGAUGGCGACGGCGUUGAGCGAGUUGGCGGAUUCCGCCGAGCGGUUAGCCGACGCCGAGACGCUGGCGCGGCGUUGUUUGCGGUACAGCCCGGACAACGUCGAGUGUUUGGUAGUUAGAAAAAAUAUUAGGCGAGCGCUGUUGGUUUGGCGCGAAGCGAGCGAUGCGGAAUCGCUCGGGGAUUGGAGUUCGGCGAUCGACGCUCUGAGGGAGCUGCGAAACGCGACGCGCGGCGGCGCGUUUGAGGCGUUGAAAUUCGACGCGCUCGUCGCGUCGUGUCGCGUGAAUGGUAAACGAGAACGCGCGCGUUGGGAGACCAGCACGACGAGAAAGAGGGUUCCCGCCAAACUCGUCGCGGAUGCGAUCGAUCAGUGCACAGACGCGUUGUCCGAGCUCAUGUCGCGCUGCGGCGAAAGUCGCGUCGACGACGUCCCGAAUUCGUAUUACGCUCGCGCGUGGAUGCGCGCGCUGAGCGCGAACGUAGAUGGUGCGAUGGCCGACGUAGCGGGGAUUGAACGUUCGGUAGAUGUAUCGUCCGACGAUUGGAAGGCGAACGUUGAGGCGUUGCGAAAAGCCAUCGAAGAGGCGCGCGAAGCAAACGCUCCAAAGGAUUUAUACGCGAUUCUGGGAUUGACGCGCGAAGAUGCACAAGCGGAAGAUUGGCUUCGUGUUUUGAAACGUGCGUACAGAAAGCUGGCACUACUAUUACAUCCCGAUAAAAAUCCGGCGGUCGAUAAAGAGGAGGCGGAGGAGAAAUUCGAUGAACUCGUCAAGGCGUACAAGAUUCUGUCAAGCGAGACGCUUCGUCGCGAAUACGACGAGACCGGCAAGGUGAACUUGGGCGUUGACGCGCAAGCGACGAACGACUGGUUCGACAGUCACGCCGAUAGCCGUCGCACGAAUGACGGUCAACCGCCAAACGAUGGACUUAACGAGGAUGAUUACAUCUUCCGGUUUGAUAAGCGCGACGCCGGGGCGGAUGGCCGAGCGGCUGGUCAGUACGUGCACAAAGAAACGGGCGAACGGGUAUUCGGUGAACGCGACGUGCGCCCAGAAGAAGAUCAACAGGACGACGUCUGUGCGAAGAAAAAAGGAUACUGCAUCGCCGGACGAGGCGGCGCCGAGGCUCCGUCGCGCGCCAAGCACGUUCCGGGGGUCGAAUCGCUCGAGGUGAAAAUCGUUACGCCGAAUCUGCUCCCGGGAGAUACCGUGGCGGCGAGGCUCGUUCGAAACAUCUUUGGACUUCACAAGCUUGAGUUCAUCUUUGCUUUUGACGUCGAGUUACCGAGCGAAGAAGUUCGCGACAAGACUUUUCAAGACGCAGCGAAAACGCGUUUGAGAAGACUCGUGCGUACCCUGCACGCGUCCCUCGUCGGCCGCGACGGGGCGUCGACGCUCACGAGCAUGAUUGAAGAGCACAUCGUGAGUUCGUCGUCUUCAGAAGACGAUUCGAUCGUAGACUACGUGGCAUCCGCGAUGAGCGGUCGCGCACCACGCGUCGGAUCGCCUCACGAGACGCGGGAUCUUCUGGAUCGCUUUGCGUCGCGCGCCACGCGCGAGAUGAGACGGCUCGGCGCCUUGGGACUCAAUUCCGACGAUCGCACCGAUAAUUUCGUGCGCGUCGCGCGUGACUUGAUGUUCAACCCCUUGGUAUCGUCUCACUUGCUCUCAUUCACCGCCGACGACGCCGAAGACGCCUCACAGGUUCGAAGUCUCGUCGCCCUCUGGCGCGACGACGUCCCCAGCCGCGUCCUCGUCGACGGCGACGUCCUCUCCUACGAAAUCAAAUUCGUCGAUUCCGACAAGUCUCCCGACGCCGUGCGAGCGAUGUGCGCCACCUUAGACUUCGAAACCACCGCGGGCGACCGCCUCAGCGCCUUCCCCGACGCCAUCGAUCAAUUCGGCCUCGCCGCCGCCGUCGCCGCCGUCAAUUUCCGCGACGUCCUCGCGCGAGACGCCGUAAACGGUUGGAUCUCGCGUCGCAUCCCCAUCCCUUCCGGCCUCAUCGGCGCGCGCGUUUCGUCCUGGUUCAUCGUCGCCGCCCGCAUCGACGCCGGUCGCGCGUCCACGCGCGUCCGCGAGGUCAAAAUCAUCAACGCCUUCGCGGACGCCGACGACUUCGCCAUCCUCGAGCCGCGCGGACCCUGAAACGUCAUUCCAAUUCAUUCCGUUCGCCCAUCGCGUCACUUCGCGUCGCGUCCGCGGUCGACCGGCGUCCCGAUCGCGCGCGAUGCACGUCGCCCUCGCGAACCUCGCGCUGUGCCCGCGCGCGCGCGCGUCGUCCGUCGUCGCGCGCGACGUCGCGAGCGGUAGGUCAACUUUCGCGGGCGUCCCCGUCGUCGUCGCGCGCGCCGCGCGCGCGCCGAGCGCCCCGCGCGCGCGCGGGAUGACGCCCGUCACCGCGCGGUUCGGCGGACGCGGCGGACGCGGCGGCGGCGGACGCUCGUUCGGUGGACGUGGACGCGGCGGGGGCGGGCGCGGGCGAGGCGGACGCGGACGAGGUCGCGGACGACCGCAGAUGGACCGAGGACCGAUGCGAAACGAAGACAUCGAGUUCGAUGAAUUGCGGGUGCUGGACGAGGAUAAAGAGAUGCUCGGGGUGAUGUCCACGGACGAGGCGCUGGAACUCGCGGCGGAGAAGGAAUUGGAUUUGGUGGUCAUGAGCCCGGACGCGGAGCCGCCGUUGGCGCGAAUCAUGAAUUACUCAAAGUACAAGUACGAAAAGGAAAAGAAGGAUCGGGAGGCGAGGAAGAAGGCGGCGGCGGUGCGCGUGGACAUCAAAGAAUUGAAAAUGAGGUACAACAUCGAUACGCACGAUUACGGGGUGCGACUGAGGGCGGCGCAAAAGUUUUUGGAGGGCGGGGACAAGGUUAAGGUGAUUUGUCAGUUUCGCGGGCGCGAGAACGACUUCCGGGAGAUUGGGCGGGAGAUGUUCGCUCGAUUCGUAGAGGACGUUGGCGAGGUGGGCUCGCUCGAGAGCAAGCCUAGCAUGGAAGGGAACUCGAUGACGAUGUUACUCGCACCCACGGUCGCCAAGGGCGACAGCAAGUAACGAGUCGCGCGCGCGUUUGGAUAUCGUAAUUUUUAAGACACCACACAAAAGAAAUUAUUGUUUUUUUAUUCAACGAUGAAUCCCGAAUGGGUCGCGCUAAAAUGUACACUUUCAUUCGUUCACGCAUUCGCGAUGCGUUUUGGCGGCAGACCGCUCGGAAACGCCUGUUCUCCUUCGCCCGGGAGCACCGCUUCGGCGAACAUUUCGACUUGCAACUUUGCGUUACUCAGCACGGCUUGCGUGAUGUGUCUACAGGGUCGAUGUUCUCGCGUGAUGCCCGCAUCGGAGAAAAAUCUGUCCCAGAUAUCACACACCGCUUCCAUUUCUCGGAUGUCUUUGAGGUGAAUUUUCACUUGCAGCAAGUGAGCGACGUCAGUGCCGGCCAUCACGAGGAGUCUGACCAAAUUAUCAAACACACGGCGCAUUUGUCCCGUGAACGUGGGUUCGACCACACCGCCACAAGUAAUACCAGAAAGCCACACUUGUCGUCCCCAGGUGACAACUGGAGAGCAAUCCAAGCCACCAGGAUUGUGGUACACGACCUGCGUGUUUGCGUCUGGCGCGUGCAACGCCAGCGCUCCACGCCCGGCGCCACGACGACGAUCGCCACCUUGUGACGUACCGCUUUCUAACACCGCAAUUCGAUCCUCGUACUGAACGUUCGUUCGCGUUGCGAUUUCAUGCGAGCGCGCAAGCUCUUCGUGCGAGCGCACGAGUUCUUUGUGCGCUGCAGAAAGUUCUUUGAACGAGUUUACGAGUUGCUGGAAAUUUUUCACCUCGACGAUUUCGUUACCCGGUAACGCGUCGUCCAGCUCACGCGUCAUUCUCUUCACUGGAACCAAGGCAUGCGUUUCAUCCUCCGCAGUAACGCUCGCAGCUCGAGAUCUCUUACGUCUGCUCGGCGGCUCAACGGGGAUGGGAAUCGUCUUGUGCUUCAUCCUCAUGUGCGUGCACAAACCCCUAUGUUGCUUCGCUUUGAACUCGCACUCUGGACAUUGGAGUUGGUCCGUUAAAAUUUCCAUGUGUUUGGUACUAGAAUGGACUCCCUUGUCGUGGACUACCGUCUCAUCCACUUCCUCCAUGUCAGUCUGAUUGAGUGCCACCCGAUCUUCGAUGACGGCUGCCGCCGCAAUCAGUUCAACGUUGUGUUCUUUCUUGUAGUGCGUGCAAAGCUGUCUGAACGACUUGCAUUUGAAAUCUCCAGCCGCACACUCGUCGCAAAACCGAACGCCAGGAUCCAUCUCUUUCGUGCGAGGAGGUCCCGGGAAACUAACUCCGACGUUCAGGGGCUCUUCUUCGAGUGGUGAGGUUUGGGGGUGCUUCAACUUGCAGCUGCGCAGAUGAGCUGCAAACCCUGCAUUCCAGAAACCCGUGUACGUCUGACAGUACUCGCACGUUAUCUGCGUCUUUUUCGAUUUACCACUCGGACGAUCGGUAUCUCUCGUCUCAUGUGUGAGCUUAUUCGGUUUUGACAACGAAGGUUUCGGCUCUGAAGUUGGCAACGACGCAUCACUCGACGAGUUCAUCAACGCCUCCGCCUCUUUAAACUCUUUCGCGGUAAUGAAUGCCCGUACAUUGUGCGCGUCUUUGUAGUGAGCGAUCAGCCCUGAAUUGUUUGGAAACUUGGCCGAGCACUCUGCACAACUUCUUUGCGUGUGAAAGAUGCGUAAGAUUGUCGUUUCUGUUUGCGGUCGAACGGACUGUUCUUCGACGGCAGGCUCGUCGCCGGGUGACUCUCCUUGUGCAGACUGUUUACCAAUUCGCGUGACUUUAACGCCGUGUUCCACCUGCAUGUGUCGCACUAAAUCAUCGAAAGAAGUACCUUUGAACUCGCAACCGCUUUCUUCUCGAAGUAAACAUUUUCUACUCUUCGCGCCGACGGAUAGCUCUUUGAGCGGCGUGUGAGCUUCAGACGCAAUUUUUGGAGGCGCCUUAUCUGUUGCCUUCGUGACCACUUGGGCAUUAGGGACGCUCGUAGCGGCUGAUUUCGCUCCUUUGCACCAUCGCGCUUUGUGCGUCACGAGCCCGGCUGGCGACUUAACUGAAACUCCACACACAUCGCAAGCCGUCGAAUGAUUGGUGACGAUGACAGACGCUUGCGUUUUGUUUUUCUUCUCUACCGCACCAGCGGUCAAAGGCACGAUUAGUUCGCCGCGAUGCUUCAUCUUGCUCUGAUGUAUUUUUAGCGAGUGCGCAUUCUUGAACGACUUUCCACACUCAGUGCACGCACAUUCCUGCGACUCGUUCGUAGACUUGUCGAUGUCACGACCUCUGCUCGCUGCUCGCUCGUCUUCGUCGUCGAUACCUACGGUGUAACGCGAAGGUCUCGCGGCUGUUCGCCGCUUUCGAUUGGGUUCAGUAGACUCGUUCGCAGUCAGCUUGUCGUCAACAUUCGAUACGUCGUCAAAAAGAUUUUCAGGUGUCUUGAGAAGCGCAGCCUUGUUCGCUGGUCGAUCAUCAUCGCUGUCUGCGUUGUGCGUAGCCUCUGCUUCAGCACGAUGCUUCACUGUAUCGCUUCUCGGCCCAUCGUCGUCGGCGUCGCUGUCGCGAUCCGUCUCAUCCUUGUCGUUCUCGUCCUCCAUCACGAAUGCGCUCACCAUCUCGGCUUGGUCCAUGGCGGGUUGCUCGGCCCAAUACUUUUCGACGUGCUGCUGAUACUCGGCGAAAGUCUCUUCGGGCUUGGCGCUGCAGUAACUCACGACGUGUUUCUUGAACGCGAGGUAUCCGUUAAACUUUUUCUGCGCGCCGCAAAAGCAACACUCGAUAUCCUUGUAGAUCUUGUACUCUCUGUUACCGUCCGGGCUCAUCUGGUCGACCCCGCGCGGCGUCGGCACUUCAACAUCUAUCGUCGUCGGACUCGAAACCGCGAGCGCUGGUGCCGGCGUGCGCGCCGGCGCCUCGUUCGCGACUUCGCCGUCCUUCGUCGUCUUGUCGCUAUUCGGACUUCCAUUCGCGCCCUGCCCCGGGCUCCGCGCCGGCGUCGCCGUCUGCACCUCGUUCCCAUCACCCGCGCCCGCGUCCACUUUCCCAUCGCUCACCACCGCCGCGACCUCGCUCGCGGGCGGUUGACCCGGUAAACCUCCCUCCGCCGACAUCGCGCCGUCGCGUCGACCUCCGCGCUCGCCUUCGCCGUCCUCCCCGCGUCGAUUCGACCGUCUCGAUCGAGUCCUGCGCGCGUCCGCGUCGUCAGUCAUCCCAUCGCGCGCGCGUUCCGUCGUUCCGACCCGCGCGCGCCGCGCGCCGCGCGCGUCGACCGCUCGCGCGGGUCGAAAUUCUCCAAUUUCAACCUCCGACCGAUUCCCCGCGGUGUUCCGCGCGUCGCCGUCGCGCGCCCGACCGUCGCGCGCCCCCUCGCCCGCGCGCGAUCGCCCGCGCGCGAUCGCCCGCGCGCGUCCGCCCGCGCGCGCGGCGCGUCUCGCGCGCGCGCGACCGCGCGAGCGCUCGACGACGCGCAUUUGACCUCGCGACCGCGGCGACCGCGCGCGCCGAUGCGCCGCGCGCGCGCGCGCGAGAUCGAUGCGUCGCGCUCGCGCGCGCGAAGACGUCGGUCGUGAUCCGUACCUCGCGUUGGAUUCGCUCGCGGGGCGCGCGCGCGCGUCGAGGAGUGCGCAUUGGGCGCGCAUUCGAUGCGGAGACGACGAGACGCCGCGAGGCGUCGCGCGAAGCGUCGCGCGAGGGCGAACGCGCGCGACGCGGCGACGACGAGAGGGAACGACGCGUCUGGACGACGCGGCGCUGAUGAUGAUGCGUGACUAGUGAGAAAUCUAGCGCUGGCUAAGAGCGCGCGCGGGCGGCGGCGGUUGGGACGCGCGCUCGCGAACGACGCGACGCUUGCGAACGCAGCCGCAACAGGAGGUUUCCUCCUCGACGGUUUCGACGAACGGCGACGGGUCGCUCGGACCCGGUGCGGUCGGCGCGGGAUCGCUCGCGGGAUUGAGCUCGGACGCGGCGUCGGCGUGGAGCUUGGCGCGGGCUUUGGCGGCCCAUCGGUCGAGGGAUCGCGCGCGCGCGAACGGCUUGGCCGCGUCGUCGGCGGCGUUCGUCGUCUCGGCGUUCGUGGUGGUGGUGGUGGUGGUGGUGGUCGUCGAUCCAUCGGUGAGAUCGAGCUUCGUUCGCGCGACUGGGGUAUCCAGAAACGACAGCGCGCGCGGCGUCGCGGGCGCGCGCGCGUCCGCGGUCGCCGGUGCGAACUCGAAGCUCGCGUCCGCGUCCUCCGUCGGCGUCGCCGCCGGCGUUCGUCGUUUGUUCUCGCUCACCGCGCUCAGCUCGUUCGGCACCAAUCGCUCGCUCAUCGUCUCACGCUCGCUCACGGACGCCCUGCCGUCCCCCGGGCGGUUCAAAGGCGUCGCGCCCUCGCCCCGCCGUCGAACCGACGCGUGCGCCUUGACGCGCUGCGCCUCGACGCGCGCCGCGUACGCGUCGUACUCCUCCAACGCCGCCGACCCAUUCUUCGCCACGUACGCGUGAAACCAUCGCAAUAAAUUAUUAUUUUCCUACGUUCGCAAACGCCCCCCGCGCGGUCGAUCGAUCGAUCGUCAGUCGCGCGUUCGCUCGCGCUCGCGCCUCGCGCUCGAAUCCCAACCGCCUCGACUCGCCCGCGCGUCGUCGUCGUCGCCCGAUCCGAUCCCCGUCUUCACCGACGCCGUCCAUCGCCCCCAAACGCGAGCGCGACUUCCAUCCCACGCUUCCCGCGCCUCGCUCGUCGCGUCGCGUCGUCGUUUCGCGCACCGUGAACUUCCCCUUGGCCAACGCGUCGAAAUCCACGUCGACGCGCGUCCCGAGCGCGCGCAUCGUCUGCGCCAGCACCCGCACGUUCCGCUCGUUAUCCCCGACGAACCGCGCGUUGAAAUCAAACCUAUGCAGCGGCACCUUCCCCGGGUGCAUCGCGUCGAGCAGCUGCGCGUACGCGACGCCGUCGCCGCACUCUUGCACCGAGGCGUAAUCGCUCCGAAGCGCGCGAUUGAGCCACGCGACGAGCUCGAGCCGUCCCAUCGAGCGCGACGUCGACGCCGUCGUCGUCGUCGCCGUCGGCGUCGUCGCGCGCGCGGCGCUCGCGCGUCGUCGCGUCGCGGGCGUCGACAUCGUCGUCGAGGAGUGACGCGGACGCCAUUCGCGCGCGCCACCAUGGCGAGCGCGCGCGGGUUCUGCGAACGCUGCGGCGCGCGCCUGCGGCUGACGACGCGCGCGCCCGACGUGCGGUGCGACGCGUGCGGCAGGGCGCGCGCGCUCGAGGACGGUGCGACGCCGACGCGACGACGGACGAAGCGGCGGCGGCGAGGAAAAGCGACGAAAAGAAAGACGCGACGCGACGCGACGCGACGCGACGCGACGACGGUGAACGCGGACUGACGACGCGCGAUGACCGCGAUGACGCCGCAGCGUUCGGGGACGGCGAGCGCGAGCUCACGGCGGGGGCGAGGGAGUUUAAGUUUCAUCACGGCGUCGAGGCGAGACAUCCGAACGGGACGCGCGUGGGCGCGACGGAGGAGGUGACGCGAGAGCGCGCGACGGUGGACGAAAAGUGUCCGAAAUGUAAGCAUAAGGGGUUAAACUUUUACACGAUGCAGUUGAGGAGCGCGGAUGAGGGGCAGACGGUGUUUUAUGAGUGUCCGAAGUGCUCGCACACGUUUUCGCAAAACAACUGAGCGCGGGGACGAGGCGAGGCGACGCCGUGUAGUAAAAGUAGCGACGAAAUUUUGUCAGUGACGCAUCGAAAGCGCGUGGUAGCUCAUCGAAAGCGCGACGCGCGCGGUAAAAAAGGUGUGUGAGUGAUUUUUACAGCGGGAAGAGAGCGCGUGUUCGCGUCGACGUCGUCGUCGCCUACUCCGGGUUACCCCAACUAUUGACAACCUUGCACGAACCGUCGCCACCGUCGGGUCCGUACUGACGCCAGCCCGCGCUUCCUUCCUUGUAAAAGGCGCUCGCGUCGGUGCCGGUACCGUCGGCCAAGGAUGCGUCGCAUCCGUUCGCGUUCCCGCUCGAACCGAUGUGCCACAAGUCGCUCGUCCAGUACUUGUUGACGCCGUCGCACUCGAAUUCCCCGUCGCAUUCCUCCUUGACGUGCUUCCAAUCCGUCGCUUCGUCGUUGAUGUUCGCCUUGUAGAACAAGCACGACAACAACCACGUAUCCUUGCGACAAUACCGCGUCGCUCCCGACGCCGGAACUUGCGCGUGCGCCGCCGCCGCCAAAUCGACCGCGCCCGACUGCGCCAUCGCCGCCGCGUCCGCCGCCAUCUCCUGACCGAACUGUUGCAUCGGUUCCUGUCCCAGCAUCGCGAUCGAGCGCCACGAGCCCCUUUCUUCGCGCUCACCGACGCACAUCAAGCUAAACUUUGACGCGUGUCCGCACGCGUCCAGGUGCGCGUCCCUCGUCAGCCCCCUCGGCGCCGCCAGCGCGAACCGCGAGCUCCCGAGCGCGGCCUCGCUCGACGUCCAACCGCGACCUCUCGCGUACUGCGCUCCAUUCAGCGCCAAGCUCGCGACGAGCGCGCCCGACAGCGCCCCGAUCGUUCGUCGCGCGGUCGACCCGCGAUUUUGGUGUUCGCGCCCUUCGCCCUCGCUCGCCACGUCCAAUCGCAGCGACGCGUCGUCGGCCGCGCGCAGCAGGCUCCCGCGUUCGUCUUCGCUCAUGUCUGCGCGCUUCGCGUCGCGUUCGCGCGCUCGCGCGUUCGCGCGCGCGCGUUUCUGCCGAUCGGCUCUGACUUUUAGUGUUGGCGCGACGGUGCCGUCGGCGACCGACCGCGGCACAUCGCGCGGCAUGGCGACGCCGACGGUGAUCGAGUGCCGCGUGCGCGGCGCGUACUGGCACGUGAAAAACCACCCGAUGUCCGGCGUCACGCUCGUCGGGUGGGCGAGGACGCUCUGGGCGCACGGACGGUCGAUCGAUGCGGUGGCGUUCGCGCCGAGGCUGAUGUUUCUGACGUGCAUGGCGCUCGCGAACACGCUGGCGGCGAUCGCGGACGGCGCGCUGCGCCCGAGGUGGGGUCGGACGAAAGUGCGAGACGACCCGGUGUUCGUGCUGGGACAUCCGAGGACGGGGACGACGCACUUGCAUAAUAUAUUGGCGAAAGACGAGACGCGCUUCGCCGCGGCGACGACGUUCGACGUCGGGUUUCCGAGCGGGUUUCUCUCGAGCGGGUUCGUGAAGCCGUACCUGGCGAAAAUGAUGGAUUCGACGAGACCGAUGGAUAACAUGGCGCUGACGAUGGACACGCCGCAGGAGGACGAGCUGGCGACGAAUCAAUUGAGCGGGUGCGCGUCGCCGUACGCGCCGCUGAUGUUUAUGCGAGACGAGGCGAAAUUUCGCAAGUAUUACGAGCUUCGAGAGGAUCACGACGAGUAUCCCAUCGAGCGCGCAGAGCUGGAGGCGUGGAAAUCGGCGUUCAUGACGUUCAUGACAAAGUUGCAGUACAAGCACGGGGAGCACAAGCGGUUGGUGUUGAAGUCGCCCGUGCACGCGGCGCGCGUCGAGGUGCUUCGCAAACUCUUUCCGCGAGCGCAAUUCGUGUUCAUUUCUCGUCACCCGUACGAUGUUUUCAGAUCUGCGGUAAACAUGGCGGACAAGUACUACUGGCAGUGCUUUUUGCAACGCCCCACCGUGGCGGACGUGCAGGAAUUCAUCCUCAAGCAGGGAGAAAUUUUACACGACGCGUACGUGCGAGACUCGAAGUCGCUCCCGCGCGAAGCCUUGUUUGAGACGCGAUUCGACGAUCUCGACGCCGAUCCCGUGGGCACGUUGUCGAAAAUUUAUAAACAUUUCGGAUGGGAUGGAUUCGACGAAACGGUCGCGCCGGUGUUGAAGGAAUACGCGACGUCGCUCGCCGACUUUAAAAAGAAUAGCUUUGCCGAGCUCUCCGACGACGCCAAGGAGGUGAUCAACAGUCGCUGGGCGCGCUGGUUCACCGACUUGAACUACGAGAAACGAUAGCGCUGUAGCGUAGAAAUAACAGUAGAAAGAAGAUUGCUCAUUAAAGGAGCUUUUUCCGCUCAAAGAAACCCUUGAGAUAGACGAUUUGCCAGACGCACAUCCCGACGCACACGCUCAGGCUCAGCACGCUCAACCACGCGACUUUCGCGUUCGUCGAUUCAUUCAUAUCGCGCAUCUCCGCCUCUAACGCUCGCAAAUUCAACAUACCAUCGUGCACUUCUCUCAAAUCCGCCUCUAACGCCCGCAACGUCCGCGUAAACGCGUCCAAAUCCGUCGCCUUGGCCAGGCUCUUCCACUCCGUCGCCGCGACGCCGUGUUUCCAAUCUACGCGCACCCUGUGCUUCGCCAGCGCCGCAGCCUUCGCCUUUUCGUCCCCCAGCGACGUCAACUCCGGUUUAUAAAAGCACGCUCGGUGUUCUCCCUCCGUCUCGCUCGUGAAUCCGUGCCUUCCGCUCGUCGCGUCGUUCUUCUCCCACGCCACCUUCCCCUUCGCGUCGAACACCUUCACGCUCACCUCAUCUCCCUCCAUCACCGUCUCGAACGCGAACAGCACCACCGCGUUCGCGUGUAUGUCUUCGCUCACGCACUUCAUGUCGUCGUACGCGCCGUCGCCGCGGUGCACCAGAUCGAUCUCCAGCGCCGUCGCCGUCGUCGUCGAAAUCAUCAUCAUCAUCGCCCCACCGACGACCGCGGACGCGAUCGACGCGCGUCGCGCGCGCGCCAUCGCCGCACUACGCGCGCUUCACCGCCGAUGACGCGGCCAAGCCGCUCGCGCGUCGCGGAACGCCGCGAUUCGUGACGCGAUUCAUCCGCGCGCGUCCUCGCGCGUUCGAUGCCCGACGACGUCGUCGUCGCGCGCGCGCGAUGUCCCGCGCGCGCGCUCGCGCUGACGGCGACGAUCACCGCGCGCGGCGCGCGCGCGACGAUCGAGGUCGCGCGCGAGGCGCGGUCGCGUCGCGUCGCUUUCGCGCGCGGUCUCGCGGUGGCGACGCUGACGCGCGUCGCGCUGGCGCUGACGCGCGCGCGCGCGCGCGACGCGUGGCUCGCGAGCGCGAUGGCGUGCGCGAUGGCGACGCGCGCGAUGGGACGCGCGCGCGCGGUGGCGCGGGCGACGAUGGAUCGAGCGUUGGGCGCGCGGUGCGCGGACGGGACGGCGGUGCCGCGCGAGGACGCGCGCGGGUUCGAAGUCGCGGAGAGGCUGAGCGCGACGGACGCGUGGUAUCAGGUGGUGUGCGCGAGGGGGGGUGGGAGAGGACGCGUGGACGUCCUGGGAGGGACGCGGUGCUCGGGAGAGAUGGCGCGGGUGGUGAUGGCGACGGCGCGGCGGUGCUUCGAAGACGGUUAGGGGAUGGAUUGAAAAAAUCGUAGAUUCGGCGGGGACGGGGGUUUUAAUGAUGGAUGGAUAGAUGGACUGGCUAGAUCUAGGAGAGGGAGGAUGAAUCGUUCGUUACUCCUCGCGCGCGAGCGCGCGCUCGUCGUCGAAGCGCUCGACGUCGAAGCGCUCGUCGUCGAGCGCGAGCGCGGGCUCGAUGCUCGCCGCGGGUUCGAAAAACUCGAGAGCGCGCCACCACAGGUACGUCACCGCCGCGACGCACCACAACAUCUUUCCGAACACGACGCCGCGGCGGUACAGCCUGUAAAGACGCCCCAUGAACGUGUCCCACGUGUCGUACGCGCGGUCGUACGCGAGCUCGACGCGAUGGGCGACGUCGUCCCAGUUGUACAACGCCUCGACGCGCUCGUGAAUCCGCCACGGAUCGGCGCGCGGGAGCGCUUCGAGACACUCGUCGAGAGCGUCCAGGAUGGACUGCACGUCCGGCUUCGCUAAGAACAUGAUAUCUUCUGGUAAUACCUCUGGAACGCCUCCCACCGCGGUGGCGACGACGAGACAUCCGCACGACGCCGCUUCGAGGACGGCGAUGCAAAACGACUCCGUGAGCGAGGCGUUGAGGAACACGUCGCCUCGACGAAGCACUUCUGGGACCUUGUCGUGCGACACGCUCCCGAGAAUGGUGACGCGCUCGGUCAAACCCGCAUCUUCGAUCGCCUUCUCCAAAUGCUUCCGCAUCGAUCCAUCGCCCGCGAUUAGGAAAUCUAAAUCGUCGUGCUCGGCGCACGCGAGCGGAAUCACCCCCGCCAACAGAUGCACGCCCUUGCGAUACAUCAAUCUCGACGUCACCACCACCGUCCUGCGUCCUUUCUUCCGCUUCGUCACAUCCGGCGUGAAUCUCACGGAGUCCACGGCGUUCGGGAUGACGCUCACGCGCUCCGGCGCCAAACCUGGCUCGCCCCCGAGCAAGUACCCGCUCCGCAAAACCGUAUUCUCCUUCGCCGUGUGACUGACGCAAAUCGCGUGCUGCGUGUCCGCCAACGUCAUGUCCAAUAACUUGUUCGUGUGAAUCGCCCCGACGUCCGCGAAACCAAACAACGAGUGAUCGGUGAACACGCACUUCAUUCCCAUCGUUCGCGCGUACAGUAUGCCCUCGUGCGACAUCGUGCACCCUUGGUGCGCGUGCACCAGCGUCACGCCUUCGCGAACGCACGUCUAAUUCGAAUCAGAAUUCGCGCGUCAGUCGACGCGAACGAAACGAACGAGCGAACGAAACGAAAGAAACUUCGCGCGCGCGCGUCGCCGUCGCCGUCGUCGUCGUCGUCGUCGUCGUCGUCGCACCUUUCUAAAUAACUUGAACCCGCCGAGAAAAUUUGGAAACGUACAGUUGUCGUACAUGACCACCCUCGGCACGUGAUACACCUUGAUCCCGCGCGUGAUCCACCGCACGCCCACGCGUCCGGGAUGCGCGUGCGUGUACACCACCACCUUGUGUCCGCGCGCGCGCAAUCUCGCGGCGAGGGCGUAGAUGUGGAGCUCGACGCCGCCGAUCGACGGCAGGAAAAAGUCGCUCAGCAUCAAGACGCAGUGCUUCCGACGCGCGACGACGGGCGACGACGCCGACGUCGAUGGCGCGUCGUCGGCGUCGUUCGGGGCGCGACGCGCGCGCGUCAUGGCGCGCGCGCGGCGGCGUGUGCGGCGGCGCGGUGCGAAAGUGAGUCGUCGUCGUGAAAAAGUUUGAGGACAAAGAUGCGAUUUUUCGGGCGCGCCGGCGGAGGAGGGAGACGGAGGACGAGACGACGAGGGAACGCGCGAUUCGACGCGGGAUGCGCGUGGAAUGAAUCUGACUAUUAUGAACGAUCGCUGAGAUUCAAAAUCAUUCGGGAUUCAAAAUCCUUUGGCGGCGCGAGAACGCGGGAGGAUGUCGCCUCGACCGCGCUUGAGCCAUAGGUUGAUGGAGGCGCGGUGCGCGCGCGUGACGUAUUUCAAAACCUCGUCGAUGAAGAUGACGGGAAUGGAGAACCAAAACACCGCGCGCCACUCUUCGUAGUUGAGCGCGGUGAUGGUGAACGUCUUCGCGAAGGAUGGGACGUACAUGAUGAUGAAAUGGAGCCACAUGCUGAUGACGAUGGAGACGAGCAACCAGACAUUCGUCGUCGGCGGGUGGGAGAAUAACGAUUUGUUCUCGCUCAGUGAGUUCAACGCGUUGAACAUUUCGAUCAAUACUAGGGUCGACAUCGCCAUCGUGCUCGGUCGACGAUCUUUGAAGGAUUCACACGCGUCUCCGAUGCAUCGCGAGGCGCUCGUGAGCUCUGCCCACGUCAUUUGCGGGCCGCCGGGGUACGACAUAAACCACCAUCCGAACGACCCAACGGUCGCUAUGCCGACGUAAACGCCGAUAAUGAGGUACCGAAUCAGUAACCAUCGAUCAACGAUCUGCUCACGCGGACUCCGAGGUCGUUGACGCAUGAUGUCACCAUCCGCGCGGUUGAAACCAAGCGCGGUGGCGGGUAAUCCGUCGGUGACGAGAUUAACCCACAAAAGUUGCACCGGAACGAGCGUCUCCGGGAACCCAAGGGCGGCGGCGAUAAAAAUACACACCACUUCGCCGAUAUUUGAGCUCACCAUGUAGCGAAUAAAUUGCUUCGUAUUGUUGUAGAUUGCGCGACCCUCCGCGACGGCUUCGACGAUGGUGCUAAAGUUAUCGUCUGCGAGCACCAUAUCGGCGGCGCCUUUGGCAACCGCGGUACCGCUUCCCAUGGCAAUCCCGAUGUCCGCGCAUUUGAGUGCCGGAGCAUCAUUCACACCAUCGCCCGUCAUCGCGACGAUGUUGUCCUGCCGCUUCAAAAUCUCGACGAGCUUGCUCUUUUGCGCGGGCUCGACGCGAGAAAAGACGCACAUCGUCCGCGCCGCUUCUUCGCGCUGCUCGAUCGUCAUCGCCUCAAACUCCACACCGGUGAAAGAUUUUCCCUUGAAACUAUUUUGAGUUGAACCACCCGUCAAAGGAUCGAUCGAGUUGCUCAAGCCAAUCUGCGAUGCGAUGGCUUCUGCGGUUUGUUGGUUGUCGCCGGUGACCAUGAUGACGCGAAUACCCGCGUCUUUGCACGUUUGUAACGAAUAACGCACCUCCGGGCGCGGUGGAUCAAUCAUUCCAACAAGACCAAUGAAUGUGAGAUUGUUUUCGUCCGUCUCAGAGCACGUCGUUACGCCUCGACCCAUGGGGCGCAUCGCGAGCGCCAACACGCGUAGGGCGUCAUUGGCGUAGCCUCGCAUUUGCUCCGCCACUUGUUCGCGAACUUGAUCCGUCAUUCUUUCCGCUCGGCCGUUGCGAUUAGACAUAACCGACGUGCAAAGUGACAGAACACUCUCCGGUGCACCUUUGACGAAUAGAAUGGAUUCAUCAUUUCGAGAGCAUAGCGUUGACAUGCGCUUGCGUUCGCUCGUAAACUCCGCCGUCGCGAGCUUUGUAAAUUCCGAAUCCCAAUAUUGUGUGCUAUGCAUGUCCUGGUCGCUCUGAGCUCGCCCGAGUAUUCCGGAAUCCGAAGGUAGUCCAAUCUUUUCCGUGAGCACGCGAAGAGCAAUCUCUGUCGCUUCUCCAAUCUUCUCAAAAGAUCCCUUUUCCUUGUCGAAAUUCAGCGUGGAAUCGUUGCACAUCGAACAGCACAUGGCAACAUAAGCCACCGCCGCGGCGUCGGCUGGUUCGUGCACGACCAAGCCGCGAGAGUCUAAAAUUUCCCCAUUCUGUGCGUAAGCCUCGCCGCGAAUACCGUAGUUGGUAACUUCUGCGGUGCUCGAAUUUUCGAUGACGCACAUGCGCAUCACAGUCAUGACGUUGCACGUCAGCGUACCCGUUUUAUCGCUACAAAUAACCGAAGUGCACCCCAAGGUCUCCACGCUAGGAAGCGUUCGCACGAGAGCGUUCUUUUUCGCCAUGCGACGCGUGCCGAGGGCGAGACACGUGGUGACGACGGCGGGUAAGCCUUCGGGAAUCGCGGCCACGGCAAGCGCGACGGCAAUCUUAAAGUAAUAAACCGCACCUCGCAGCAAUCCUCCGUGCGCCUUGUCGGCAAAGUGUCCAAUGUUCACCACCCACACUAAAAUACAAAUUACCGCGAUGAUUUUCCCGAGCAAGUUCCCGAAUUCGUCCAAUUUCUUCUUCAGCGGCGUCAAUUCCUCCUCCGUCUGCUCGAGCGUGUGUUGAAUCUUCCCCAUGGCUGUGUUACUACCCGUACCGACCACCACGCACGUAGCCUUACCCACGGUCACCGUGGUCCCACUGUACACCAUGCACGUCUUGUCUUGCAGCACGCACUCGCCGAGAUGUUCCACCGCCCGUUCCGUCUUCGCCACGCUUCCGCUCUCCCCCGUCAACAGCGCCUGAUCGCACCGCAGGACGUUGGAGUGAAUCUUAACCAAUCGGCAAUCCGCGGGCACCUUUUCUCCCGUCGCAAUCUCCACGAUGUCUCCGGGCACGAGCGCCUCCGCGUUCACCUUGCGUUUCUCGCCGUCGCGCGUGCACGUGGCGACGUCCGCCUCGUACUUUUUCAAUUCCUCAAUCGCGCGCUCCGCGUUCUUCUCCGUCGCCACUCCCACCGCGGCGUUCGCGAUUAAUAUCGCCACGAUCACUCCCGGUUCCAGGAACGCCUCCGAGCCACCCUCACCGUCCCACAGCGCGAGCGCCAACGACACGAACGCCGCGAGCAACAGCACCUUCACCAUCGUGUCGUCGAAUUGCUUAAUCACCAACGACGCGAACGACGUCUCCCGCUGCGCCGGCAGCGCGUUCGCCCCGCACGCAUCUCUCCGUCGCUGCACGUCCGCGCGAUCGAGCCCGUGCGCGAGAUCGAGGACGCCCAACCGCGCCAAGGUUUCAGUCGCGCUCAAUCGAUGCGCGUCUUCCGCGUGUCUUCGCCACGCCGUCGCCGCCGCCGCGCUCUCGGGAUUGACAUCGCGCGCGUGAGGCAUGCUUUCGCGACGCGCGGUCGGCGCGACGCGCGCUCGAGCGACGCGCGCGCGUCGUCGUUCGCGGAUAAGCGUCGCCGGGUGUCCCGUCCAGCCGAACGUUCGGGACGCCCGACCGCAGUGUUCGCCGCGCGCGACGACCGCGAUGCCGUCCUCGACGUCCCGCGCGCUCGUCGCGGCGUCCGGAAUCGUUCUGGCGAUCGUCGCGAGCGAUAUCUACGGCGCGUACGCGUCCACGGCGACGGAGACGGCGCCGUCCGAGACGUUUCGCGCGAUGUCCCGAGGCGCCGGGAAAGUCGUCGUCGGGUUUUGCACCUCGUGAUCUUACCGCGGCGGGUUCAACCAGCUCGCGCGCGCGAUCGAAAAUGAAUUCGGGAUGGCCACGACCGGUGGGCACUGGCCGCCGAGCGCGACGGCGGUGGCGCUCGGUCGAGCGUUCUCGUGGGUGCAAAUCGCGCUCUGGACGGCUACGUUUUUCGGCGAGCGGGCGGCGACGCGCGUCUUCGGCGAGAGCGCGGUCGUCCCGGCGUGGUUGAAGUCGAUGAGCGAGAAUAAGUUUCAAACCGCCAUCAUGACUUUUUGGGUGUUCAACAUCGUGAGCGCGAACGUGUUGAACACCGGGGCGUUUGAGGUGUUUUACGACGGCGAGCUCGUGUCUUCAAAGUUGCAGAGCGGGAAAUUGCCGAGGGUCGAUACGAUAUUCGAAGGGAUUCGCGCGAUUCAGGGGAAGUAGUGUCAUCGCAUGGAACGAUGAGAUGCGAUGCUCGUCGUGGUUAGCGAUGCGAUGGGCGCGCGGGAUGAAACGAACGGUGACGACGCGCGCGGAAAACUCGGUCGAAGAAAUCGGCCAGUCGCGCGCGUUUGACUUCUUCGGUUCGUCCACGCGCUUCGCUCGUCGUCGUCGUCUGGAAGAUGAAUCAAUAUAUCAUCAUCAUGUAAUAAAAACUAACGUAGUUCUCUCGCGCGAAUAAAACUAACGUAGUUCUCUCGUGCGAGUCGAAGACCGACCGCGGGGCGAUGAUGGGCGACGUCGACGGCGCUCGCGCGGCGCGUUCGUCGCUCAAAUUUUAUAUAACGACCUUGCCGUCGAAAAUUACAACGCUAAACCGUAAGUGAUUACCACGGGAUCGGACGGAACUCCUCGUCGCUGCCGUCACCGAGCGUCUUUUGCGCGAGCAAGAACGUCGGGGCGGUGGACAAGAAGGCGAUGAAGGCGACGGCUUCGCCGCCGACGGAGCUCGUGAACAAGUUGACGGCUUGCGGGUUGGCCAUGUGCGCCUCCAAGCCCUCCAACGGGGAGAGACCGGUGACGGCGUAUUGGGAAACCAUACCGAGGAACGCAACCAUCGCGAGGCGCGCGUUCUUCACUUCCUUCACGCGCUUGUCCGGAGCAUCGAGUCCAGCCGGGUCGAACGGGAACGCGUUCAACACGCCGGAUUCGCCCGACUUCAUGAAACCGCGCGUGCGCGCCGCCUCGAGAAUGCUCAUCGCCACGACUUGGAACCCGACGAGCUGUUGGAAGUCCAUACCGUAAUCCACGGCACCGGCUUCCCACCACUUCGGCAAACCAACCGCGUCGGUGAACAAAAUACCCGCCGUCGCCGCCAUGGCCCAGCGCCCGUUCAUGAGCUCCGCCUCUUGCAAGUACGGCAGCGUCUCCGGGUUCGCCCCGAGUCGCAACGGGUCAAAGCCUGCGCGCGCACCGCAUCCGUCAGUCACACAUCCACGCGCGCCUCCAUUCGUCCCGCGUCCCGCCCUCUUCCGCUCGCGUAGGCGCGUCUCCCCGCGCCGCCGCCCCGCGCGUCCGCCGCCUUCGAAUCGCCAUCCCAGCCGUAUCCGACCGUAUCGUAUCUCCCAUCGCCCGCCAUCGCGCGCGUCCUCGCGCGUCGCUCGCGUCGCGCACCGUAAUCGCCGGCCAUCGUCCCAUCGAGAUAUUUCGGCGCCACCGCUCCCGGGUACCACAGCUCGCGGUCCGCGUUCGCCGCGCGCGCGGCGACGCGCGCGCGCGGCGCGCGCGUCGUCGAUCGCGCGUCGACGAUCGUCGCGCGGUUCGCGAUGGCGUGUCGAGCCGUCGUGAGGGAGAACAUCGCGUUCGUCGGGUGUUCGCGCGCGAGAAUUUACGCGUUCACGGGUCCGUCGUCGUCGACGGGUGCGCGCGGCUCGUGCGAGGCGCGGGCGUGUGAAGACGCGCGCGCGUCCGCGCGCGGCGCGCGCCAAUCCGCGCGCGCGAUCCGUCGCGAUGGAUGGGCCGCGUUCGCGUUUGAUCGCCUUCGCGCGCGCUCGAAUACGGGGGAUUCGAAUACGCGCGCGGCUGAGUGUCCGUGUGUGAGACGCACCACGAUUGAGACGCCGCGCGGCAUCGCGACCGCGGACCGCGACGCCGUCGCGGCGCGGCGCGAUGCCGCGCGCGCGCGACGCGCGCGCGCGCGUACGAGCGCUCUUUCUCGCGUGCGUCGUUCUCGCGACGCGCGGCGCGCGCGCGAGCGACGCGAAAGCCGACGCGCGAGGACGAGCGCUCGCGCUCGAGCGCUGGGCGCGGACGCCGACGCGACGCUGGGACGCGGCGGCGCGAGAGGAAGACGCGACGACGGCCGCGCGCGUGUCGGAAUCGAUUCGAAUCGUCGCGGAGGCGCGAGGCGCGGGUCGAGGCGUGGCGACGACGAGGAACGUGAGCGCGGGGGAGCUCCUGGCGGAGGUGCCGCUGGAGAAGUGCCUGUGCGCGGCGAGCGCGAGGAUGGACGCGCGGCUGUGGCGCGCGAUCGGGGCGAGCGGGGCGAGCGGGGACGCGAUAUUGGCGGCGCACGUGCUGCGGGAGGCGUUCGAUGCGGGAUCGAAGAGCGCGUAUUGGCCGUGGUUGCGGUUGCUGCCGAGAGACGUGGACAGCACGGUGGGGUGGAACGAGGACGAGUUGAGCGAGCUGAGCGGAUCGAACGUCGUGGUGUUCACGCGAGCGAUCAAGGCGCAGUGGAGGAUGGAAUACGACGCGCUCGACGUGCCGACGCUUGGGGAAAAAUUUCCAGACGUCUUCGGGGGCGAGCGCGCGGCGCAUUACACGUUUGACAAGUUUACGUGGGCGCGGUUUAUUAUUUGGUCGCGCGCGAUCGAUUUAUCCACCGAAAGCGCCGAGGCGCCGACGAUUCGCGUGCUGGUACCGUUGUUGGACAUGGCGAACCACGCGCCAGGGGGUAAGUUGCGCCCGGAGUGGGACGCGCGCUCGAACGCGGUCAAGGUGUACGCGGCGAGCGCGUUUCGGGAGCACACGGAAUUAAGGUUCAACUACGACACCAAGCCGUCGCAGUACUUUUUGUUACAAUACGGUUUCAUUCCGGAAACGAAUCCCGCCGAGUGCGUCGAGGCGACGGUGCGCGUGAGCGAUCACGACUCCCUUCGAGACGCCAAAGAGGAGCUCUUACGUCUGCACGGUCUCGAUCCGAAGAAGAGAAACUUCGAAUGGAAACCGCGAAGUAUUGAUUACGACUUGCUCGCGGCGACGCGAGUCAUAACUAUGGACGAGGCAGAAAUGAGCGACGCGACGUCGUUGACGCUCGCCGUCAGUGGCGCCUCGGUGAGCGCCAAGAACGACGCGCGCACGAAAGCCGUACUCCUCAAAUCUUUGGCGAGCUUUUUAGAGUCGUAUACGACGACUCUCGCGGAAGACAACGAAUACGUCGCACGUGUCGAUGACGAAUCGAACGAUGAGCCGCUUCCAGGAAAGCGAAAGCGCUUCGCCGUGUUGCUGCGCAUGCGCGAAAAGCAAAUCUUGCUCGCAUCCGCGGACGCCUUGUUCAAGGAAUUACCAGACGAAGAUCAAGAGCUCGUGAAGUCGACGUGCGAAGAGAUCUUCAUGAAUGAAUUCGACGCGUGCAUGACGCGCGCGAACGGGACGGUGUUCGCGUCGUACGAGAAAAAAACCGAGGAGGAGAGGGUGGAUGAAUCAUCGUAAAUCGGUAUUAUGUAUCAACACAACAUUAACUAGGUGUAGUCAAAGUAGCUUGUAGCGCAGCGCGUCAAAUUAUUUAGUAAGGACGGUGUCUGUUAUCGCGACCUCGGCCAUUGCGUCGGUUGUCUCGUCCACGGCCGCCGCCGCCGCCGAUGGCGUAGGCAACUUGGCCGGUGGGAAGGAUGACUGGCGUUGCGUUCACUUGUCUGGCGCCAGACCAAGAGCCGCGCGGGGCGAGACCGCCGCCGUACUUGGAGUCGCCACUUCUGUAUUUAGACCAAUCGUCCCGACCACCGCCGCGAGAAGGACCGCCGCGGCCCGAGUUUGGCUCUCGACCUCGAUUGCCGGCGUCCGAGCGGUACGAUUUGCGCGACGACAUCACCUUGAUGGUGGAGCCGUCGACGCUGGAGAUGAAGGCACCACCCUUGUCACCUUCGGCCGCGCCUUCAACCGGUUCGCACUCCGCGAGAGCUUUUUCGACGCUCUCGGCGGAAUCGUAAAACACCCAGCCUCUCGUGCGAUCUUUUUCCAUAAUCUGCGUGCCGAGAAUUGUACCGUAACGCUCGAAAGCCUCGCGCAAGCCCUGAUCUGUGGCGUUCGCUUCGUUCAUCUCGGUGACGUGCAACGUCUUGAUUUCGAUUUCUUUCUUCUGCGGUCUUGGUCCGACAAAUUCGCACACAAGACCUCUCUUGUCCUUGUCGUCCGCCACGGGCAACUUUUCUUCGCGGUUCGCCGCCAUGUUCUUCAUAAAGCGUUCCGCGCACGCCUCGUUGUAAAACGAAGCCCAACCCCGGCCGCCGUUGUGAUCUCCACUUUCAACGACCGCGUUCUCGGCGUUCUUCUUCGCCGAUCGCGGUCGCGAGAGCGCGAAAAACUCCAAACCCGCGCCUCGCGAGCGCAACGCCUCCACGAUCUCCUCUCGCGUCGCGUCCUUUCGCAGCCCGGUCACCAUCACCCGAUACUUGCUCGGUUUCACGCUCGCCGUAAUCUUCAUCUUCUUCACCUCGCACUCCGCCUUCGCGAUCGCCGCCACCGCGUUCGCCGCGCUCUCCCUCGAGUCGUACCUCGCGAACGCGUACCCGCGAUGCGUCCCCGUCGUCCUAUCCGUCACCAAUUCGAACCCCGUCGCCCCGCUCUCCGCCCCGCACUCCCGCAGCGCCGCGUGCACGUCCUUCUCGCUCGCCUCCGCCGCGAUUCCCUUCACGAACACCUCCGUCUCCCGUCCCGGUUUCCCCGCGAUCAGCGCAUCCGUCGCGUCCGAUUCCAGAAGCACGCUUCGGCGCUCGUCGAAGUCGUACGCGUCGUCCUCGUCCAUCGCCGCCGUCGCCGUUUCGCCUCGCGCGUCGCGAGUCUCAGUCGUCGUCGCGUCGCGCGCGCGCGUGUGCCGACGCGAUCGCGCGCGCGAUUCGCGAUCGCGCGUCGUCAAUCGUUUUCGCGGGAACGGCGCGCGCUACAAAAAGCGACUCGACGACGCGCGCGAUGUCGCGCGCGGACGCUCGAAACGCGUACGACGCCAUCCUCGACGCGCGCACGCGCGACGCGGCGUCGAUGGAGCGGUUCGCCGCGCUCGCGACGGCGCCGAGCGCGGUGCCGCGCGCCGCCGUCGAAGCGGUCGUCGACGCGGGCGCGCGCGCGGCGCUCGUCGACGUGCGCUCGCCGGGAGAGCACGCGCGAGGACGCGCGCCGCGCGCGAUAAACGCGCCGCUGUUCGAUGACGACGAACGCGCGGCGGUGGGGACGGCGUACAAGACGAGAGGACGAGGCGAGGCGCUGGUGCUGGGGAUGGCGGCGGCGGCGCCGCGGUUGGAGGCGAUCGUGGAGCGCGCGAAGCGAGCGGUGGAGACGGUGGCGACGACGCGAGGGAACGGUGACGGCGAAGACGAUGGUGAGAUUGAUGUGUACGUGAUGUGCUUUCGAGGAGGGAUGCGGAGCUCGUGCGUGGGGUGGUUGUUGAAGGAACGGUUGCGCGGCGCGAGAGUCCACGUGGUCGAGGGCGGAUACAAGGCGUUUCGGAGGUGGGCGCUCGAGCGGUGCGGACCGACGCGCGGAUUGCCCGCGCCGAGGGUGUGCGUCGUCGGUGGACGCACGGGGGUGGGGAAGACGCGCGCGCUGUUGGCGCUGCGCGCGAAAGGGGAACAGAUUAUCGAUUUAGAGGGGUUGGCGAACCACGCCGGGAGCGCGUUCGGGUGGGUCGGGCGAGAGCCGCAGCCGACUUCGGAGCACUACUCUAAUUUAGUCGCCUGCGAGUGGCACGCGUUGGAUGCGAGCAGAUGGGUGUUCAUCGAGGAUGAGGGACCGCACGUCGGGCGGUGCUCGGUGGAUCCGUUGUUGUUUGAGCGCAUGCGAAACGCUCCUCUGGUGCUUCGCAUGGUCGCCCCGCGCGAGGUGCGGUUGCACACUUUAGUGGAAGAUUACGCGACGUCAGAGUUGCGUUCUCAUCCGGAAUGGAUGCCCACAAUGCGUGAAAGCGUCGAUAAGCUCGUCAAGCGGCUCGGUGGCGACCGCGUGCGCGACAUUCGAGAAAAGCUCGAAGCCGGCGAUUUCACCGCCGUCGCCGAAGGUUUGCUCGAGUAUUACGACGGUUUGUACGACAAGCACCUCAUGAGCAAGCGCAAAGACCGUCGCGCGGCGCGGGCCGCCAACGCCAACGCCGCCAACGCCAACGCCAACGACGACGCGUGUUCGGUGCAAUCCUUCACGUCGUCCACCACCGAAGACGAGGCCCGAGCCGGCGUCGUCGUCGACGUCAACUGCGUCGCCAACGCCUCGGGUGGCCUCGACGAGGACCUUCUCGUCCGCGAUGUUCUGUGCGCCGUCGCUCUGUUCGAAUGCGAAGGACCGAACGACCCCGAACGCGCGUAGUCGAUUCGAUUCGCGUCUCGUCUCGAGCGCCGACUCGAGGCUGACUCAGCACGGUCGUGCCGACACGCUUUGCAAUAAUCCACGCGCGAGUUCGUCACAAACGCGCGCGUCUCACGCACGUUCGAACGCGCGAACGCUCAAAUCCACGAAAAAGAUGUUCUCUCUGUCCUCUACCGCCGCUCUCGCCCGCGCGCGCGUCUCGGCGCCGCGUAAAACCGCGCGAAAGUUGACGAUUCGCGCCUCCGUCAACUACAUUCUCGAUCGCGAGGGAUGUUCGAGCGCGCGGUCCGACGACGACGGCGCGCUGCUCCAGACGGCGGCGAAGACGUGCCUGGCGGUUCCGAUCGACGUGAACGCGCUCGUGGCGCAAAAUAAGGGUGACUUGGAGUUUGAGAACGAGCAGUUGAAGUUUGAGCUCGACGACUCGAGCGCGCUCGUCGUGCAAUCGCUCAAAGGCAAAACUCUGAUCGACGGGAAAGCGGCGCCCAAGGGACGAAAAUUGAAACUUCGCGCGGGAUCGAAGAUUAAGAUCGCCGACGAGGAAUUCACGGUGUAUCGAAACACGCACGCGCACGCGUGAGACGCGAGUCGCCGAACGCGAGUCGCCGAACGCGAAUCGAAUCAAGACCACACUCUUUGACUCCGCACCUUUUAUCGUUGUACCAUCGCUGUAUAGCUACUAACUCUGUUGUAAAACACGAGCGGACCUUACUCGAUCA
This 44534-nucleotide long non-coding RNA is filed under the name Ostreococcus sp. 'lucimarinus'. Its description in RNAcentral is "long non-coding RNA (OLUC_LNC000017)". Lineage: Eukaryota; Viridiplantae; Chlorophyta; Mamiellophyceae; Mamiellales; Bathycoccaceae. The record is from RNAcentral.